RNAcentral lists this long non-coding RNA (402 nucleotides) under Olea europaea (common olive). Its description in RNAcentral is "long non-coding RNA (OEUR_LNC012047)". Lineage: Eukaryota; Viridiplantae; Streptophyta; Magnoliopsida; Lamiales; Oleaceae. The record is from RNAcentral.
CAAUAGAAUCAAGGCACAAAAAUCCUUGAAACGCAUAAUUGAAAACUCAAAAAUGAGCUUGGGUAAUUACAAAGAGCAUUUGGCCAACAUUUUCAUCCUCAGCAGGGGAUUCAGGAAGCUGAAUGUAACUUCGGAUUGAUGGAUUAUCAGUUACAAAUCCGAACGUAUUGAACGCCGGCUUAUCAUCUCCUUCUUCGGAAACCCUGGCAACAAUACUGAUUGUUGUUCUAAAUCUUUUGCUCGCGAGGAAUCUAGUGGUGGUUAAGUGUGAUGAUGAAGCUGAGGAAAAGGUGCGGAGAUUGCGAGGAGCCGGAGUGGGAGGUGAAGUGAGGAGAGAGAGAGAGAGAGAGAGAGAGAGGCAUUGCGGUGGUUCUGGCGGUUAAUCAUUUAAUUCUCUUUUAU